ACGGCGAGUGAAGCGGCAUCAGCUUAAUCGACAAUCCUGCGCCCUUUGGGCGGUGGAAUUGUAGUCUUGUUGGGUGAACGGCGCCGUUGGACGGCCAAUUCGAUGGAAAUCCAGGUCCCAGAGGGUGAUAGCCCCGUGUGACUGUCCAGUCGGCGCCACAGUUUGCUCAAUCUUCGAGUAGCGUUCCUUGGGAAUGGAGCGUGAAGAGGGUGGUGAUAUCCAUCUAAAGCUAAAUAUUGGCGAGAGACCGAUAGCGAACAAGUACCGUGAGGGAAAGAUGAAAAGCACUUUGGAGAGAGAGUUAAAUAGCAUGUGAAAUCGUUGGAAGCAAGCGAAUCAGUGUGCUUGGACGCGGGUCCGGCGCUUGGGAACUCGCCCGGGCGUGAGUGCUUUUUGUGUUCCGGCCUGGCUGCCAGUUCCCGUGCCCGGACCGAGGUUUUGGCGUUCUUACGCGUUCUGAUCCGACCCGUCUUGAAACACGGACCAAGGAGUCUAAUAUGUGUGCGAGUACUCGGGUGCCAAACCCCUGUGCGCAGGUAACCCGAAUCGCGUUAGCCCUCGCGGGCCCAUCGCGGGUAGUGAAACGUUUGUUUCCCUCACAAG
Molecule: ribosomal RNA, 603 nt
Filed under: Amphispyris costata
Lineage: Eukaryota; Polycystinea; Nassellaria; Trissocyclidae
Description: partial large subunit ribosomal RNA
Rfam family: Eukaryotic large subunit ribosomal RNA
Source: RNAcentral